RNAcentral lists this ribosomal RNA (304 nucleotides) under Mycale laevis. RNAcentral describes it as "eukaryotic LSU rRNA". It matches the Rfam family "Eukaryotic large subunit ribosomal RNA", at positions 924 to 1229 of the family's 3401-position model. The record is from RNAcentral. Lineage: Eukaryota; Metazoa; Porifera; Demospongiae; Poecilosclerida; Mycalidae.
CGAAGACUAAUCGAACCGUCUAGUAGCUGGUUCCCUCCGAAGUUUCCCUCAGGAUAGCUGGAGCCCGGUGCAGUUUUAUCAGGUAAAGCGAAUGAUUAGAGGUCUCGGGGUCGAAACGACCUCGACCUAUUCUCAAACUUUAAAUGGGUAAGAGGUCCGGCUUGCUCGAUUGAAGUCGGACGCGGAAUGCCGGGGCUCCUAGUGGGCCAUUUUUGGUAAGCAGAACUGGCGAUGUGGGAUGAACCGAAAGCCGGGUUAAGGUGCCCGAAUCGACGCUCAGCAGAUACCAGGAAAGGUGUUGGUA